Molecule: long non-coding RNA, 1153 nt
Organism: Neofelis nebulosa (Clouded leopard)
Lineage: Eukaryota; Metazoa; Chordata; Mammalia; Carnivora; Felidae
Exons: 3
Source: RefSeq, a predicted model, not a curated record
GUCUUCCAGAACCCUGCGCGCCACUCACGUCAACGUCGACGUAAAGCCCUGCUCCUGGCCACGCCCACGCAGAAAGCCCCGCGGGGAACCGUCGCUUUACAGAGUCCAGUUAGCGGUUUUGCCCGACAAUCGAGCCCAGCCAGCCGAUUCAGGUGACCUCAGCGAUUUACUGGCGGUGUCCUCACCAGAACUCAGAGCUCAGCAAGACAGCCCUGCCGAACUGCAGGGCCGUGGCAGUGUAUCCUGCCCAAUUGUGGACCCUGAGACCCCAACCCUGAUCCUUAUCCAAUUGCAGACCCUGGCAACAAAUCACCCACCGGGCAAAGACGGGUCAGCUGGUCCUGCUGAAACUCAGAACCCACCAGGCAGCCCCAGCCCCCUCCAGAAUGGAUUCCAAGAGAGGGAACUGGCUCACUAUGGACACCACCAACUGAUGUGCCCAGAAUUGUUGGCUGGCUGAUGUUGGCUUGCACCCUCAGGAGUUUCCAGGUGAAAUCUGAAAUUGGCCCCAUACAUGGAGGACAAGAAGAGACUGAAGAAAGAGGCAGACCACUCCAGAUUGACAAGAUCAAAGCAACAUAUCCAGUAUAUGACUAGAAGAGACCUGGGAAGAUGGAAAUGCCACAAGAAGGAGGACACAAGAGUCCCUAAGUCUCCAUAUAAAGAAAAAGAAAAGUAGUGAAAAACAGAAAAAAAGAAAGAAAAUUGAAUAGAUGGACCUGCUACCGGAUUGAAAUAGGACUGAAAUUACUUCAUUUUUCCCUAGAAGUCGGACUAUGAAGCACUUUACAGUCCAUAAAGUAAGUAGGCAGUGAGACUGGUGUUCUUAAAGAGUGAGGUUGGCCCAGUUGGGCGGGGCUCAGUGUAAUGGCUCUGUUCUCCACUAGAUGGAGCUGCUAGCCUACUGGGGUGGGGUGUUGCCGCGCUUGUAGGUGCAUAUGCGCAUGUGCAGUAAUGGUGAAAAUGACGUCACCCAGGUAUCCAGUCUCUAGUAUUGGAAGGAACUCUGUUCUCCCUGAUCAGCAAUCGCGCACCUGUCCUCUGUCUUCGGCUUUCAUCCACUCCCCGCUUCUUCACUGUCCGUGACCAAGCCCCAGGUAGUACCUCUCUCCGGAGUUUUGUCUCAGAUGCGGCUGUUCUCCCUGCCCCGUUA